CGCCCUGCGGAAAGCAGGCGGGGCAGGAGCGCCGCUCUCCUAAAGCGGGUGUCGCAGGUUCGAAUCCUGCCGGGGCGC
Molecule: transfer RNA, 78 nt
Filed under: Streptomyces sp. SID1328
Lineage: Bacteria; Bacillati; Actinomycetota; Actinomycetes; Kitasatosporales; Streptomycetaceae
Description: tRNA-Arg
Source: RNAcentral